AGUGAACGCUGGCGGUAGGCCUAACACAUGCAAGUCGAGCGGCAGCACAGUAAGAGCUUGCUCUUACGGGUGGCGAGUGGCGGACGGGUGAGGAAUACAUCGGAAUCUACUUUUUCGUGGGGGAUAACGUAGGGAAACUUACGCUAAUACCGCAUACGACCUACGGGUGAAAGCAGGGGAUCUUCGGACCUUGCGCGAUUGAAUGAGCCGAUGUCGGAUUAGCUAGUUGGCGGGGUAAAGGCCCACCAAGGCGACGAUCCGUAGCUGGUCUGAGAGGAUGAUCAGCCACACUGGAACUGAGACACGGUCCAGACUCCUACGGGAGGCAGCAGUGGGGAAUAUUGGACAACGGGCGCAAGCCUGAUCCAGCCAUACCGCGUGGGUGAAGAAGGCCUUCGGGUUGUAAAGCCCUUUUGUUGGGAAAGAAAAGCAGCAGGUUAAUACCCCGCUGUUCUGACGGUACCCAAAGAAUAAGCACCGGCUAACUUCGUG
RNAcentral lists this ribosomal RNA (492 nucleotides) under uncultured bacterium. RNAcentral's name for it is "partial 16S ribosomal RNA". It matches the Rfam family "Bacterial small subunit ribosomal RNA", at positions 29 to 507 of the family's 1533-position model. The record is from RNAcentral.